GAAAUGCGAUAAGUAAUGUGAAUUGCAGAAUUCCGUGAAUCAUCGAAUCUUUGAACGCACAUUGCGCCCUCUGGCAUUCCGGGGGGCAUGCCUGUCCGAGCGUCAUUACGCACCCUCAAGCCCGGCUUGUGUGAUGGGCCCCGGCGUCUCGUUCGCGAGACGGGCCUGAAAGGCAGCGGCGGCGUCGACCCGAUGAGCCCGAGCGUAUGGGGACUUCUGUCACACGUUCGCGGUGCGGACCGGCGCCUGCUUGACUUUUCUGAUUAUCCAGGUUGACCUCGGAUCAGGUAGGGAUACCCGCUGAACUUAAGC
This 312-nucleotide unclassified non-coding RNA is filed under the name plant metagenome. RNAcentral's name for it is "partial contains 5.8S ribosomal RNA, internal transcribed spacer 2, and large subunit ribosomal RNA". The stretch from base 1 to 105 matches the Rfam family "5.8S ribosomal RNA", at positions 50 to 154 of the family's 154-position model. The record is from RNAcentral.